AGUGAACGCUGGCGGUAGGCCUAACACAUGCAAGUCGAACGGCAGCACAGUAAGAGCUUGCUCUUACGGGUGGCGAGUGGCGGACGGGUGAGGAAUACAUCGGAAUCUACUUUUUCGUGGGGGAUAACGUAGGGAAACUUACGCUAAUACCGCAUACGACCUACGGGUGAAAGCAGGGGAUCUUCGGACCUUGCGCGAUUGAAUGAGCCGAUGUCGGAUUAGCUAGUUGGCGGGGUAAAGGCCCACCAAGGCGACGAUCCGUAGCUGGUCUGAGAGGAUGAUCAGCCACACUGGAACUGAGACACGGUCCAGACUCCUACGGGAGGCAGCAGUGGGGAAUAGUGGACAAUGGGGACAAACCUGAUCCAGCCAUACCGCGUGGGUGAAGAAGGCCUUCGGGUUGUAAAGCCCUUUUGUUGGGAAAGAAAAGCAGCAGGUUAAUACCCCGCUGUUCUGACGGUACCCAAAGAAUAAGCACCGGCUAACUUCGUG
This 492-nucleotide ribosomal RNA is filed under the name uncultured bacterium. RNAcentral's name for it is "partial 16S ribosomal RNA". It matches the Rfam family "Bacterial small subunit ribosomal RNA", at positions 29 to 507 of the family's 1533-position model. The record is from RNAcentral.